RNAcentral lists this unclassified non-coding RNA (326 nucleotides) under soil metagenome. Its description in RNAcentral is "partial contains 5.8S ribosomal RNA, internal transcribed spacer 2, and large subunit ribosomal RNA". The stretch from base 1 to 120 matches the Rfam family "5.8S ribosomal RNA", at positions 35 to 154 of the family's 154-position model. The record is from RNAcentral.
GAUGAAGAACGUAGCGAAAUGCGAUAAGUAAUGUGAAUUGCAGAAUUCAGUGAAUCAUCGAAUCUUUGAACGCACAUUGCGCCCCUUGGUAUUCCGGGGGGCAUGCCUGUUCGAGCGUCAUUAUAACCCCUCAAGCUCAGCUUGGUGUUGGGGCCUGCCAACUGGCAGCCCUUAAAAUCAGUGGCGGCGCCAUCUGGCUCUAAGCGUAGUAAUUUCUCUCGCUAUAGGGUCCCGGUGGAUGCUGGCCAACAACCCCCAAUUUUCUAUGGUUGACCUCGGAUCAGGUAGGGAUACCCGCUGAACUUAAGCAUAUCAUAAGCGGAGGA